GGUUUUAUAGCUAUUAUUUUGAUUUAUUUUUAGGUUUAUGUGCCUUUUGCAUCAUGCUUAAUAGAGAUUACUGCUUAGGUAGUAUACCGAAAAGUUUAGAUAUUUAAUCAAGUUAGUUAGUAGUUCCACGAGUAGUGCGUUUAAAACUUGUUUAAUGUUGUGAUAAAUUAAUCGGUAAACUUUAUAACUGUUUAUAGGUUUUAAUUUUAAUUAUUUUUAUAGCGAAGAGGUUAUAAAGUGUAAAAUGUUAUCUAUUCUAUUAAACUUAAAAUAGGGUUAAAAUUACCUUUAUUUUAUAAAACUGUUACAAGUUUAGUCAGUUAUAUAAUUAACUUUAUUAUUUUACCUAUAGUGUUUAAUGGUUUGGGCUUUAAUAUUGUUAAAUUAGUAAUUAUAUUAGUUUUUUUGUUUCUCAUUCUCAAUUCGUCUGUUUAUUAAAAACAUUUCUAUAAUGUAUAGCUUUUAUAGUAGUGCCUGCUCUAUGUGUUUAUAAAUGGCCGCAGUAUAUUGACUGUGCAAAGGUAGCAUAAUUAAUUGCCUUUUAAUUAAAGGCUUGUUUGAAUGGUUUGACGCAAUUGUAAAAAAACAUAAGAGCUUUUAAUGAAAUUAAUUAUAAGAGUACAGAAUCUUUAUUAGUUAAUUAGACGGAAAGACCCUAGGAUCUUUUUAUUUUGCUUGGGGCAAGUGGGAAUAUUUUAUUCUUUUUUUGAUCCUUAUGGUUUAAAGAUUUAAGUUACCCUAGGGAUAACAGUGUAAUAGUUUAGUAGAGGUCUUAUCGAUUAAACUGUUUGCUACCUCGAUGUUGACUUGGGUUAAUGUUUUGGCGUAGCCGUUAAAAGUUUUGGUCUGUUCGACCAGAUGUACCCCCAUGAGUUGAGUUAAGACCGACGUGAGUCAGGUCGGUUCUUAUCUAUUAUUCUAACUUACUAGUACGAAAGGAGUGUAAGUUAUUUUUGU
Molecule: ribosomal RNA, 957 nt
Filed under: Cephalochlamys namaquensis
Lineage: Eukaryota; Metazoa; Platyhelminthes; Cestoda; Pseudophyllidea; Cephalochlamydidae
Description: 16S ribosomal RNA
Rfam family: Bacterial large subunit ribosomal RNA (bases 638-916)
Source: RNAcentral